RNAcentral lists this ribosomal RNA (1502 nucleotides) under uncultured prokaryote. Its description in RNAcentral is "partial 16S ribosomal RNA". It matches the Rfam family "Bacterial small subunit ribosomal RNA". The record is from RNAcentral.
AGAGUUUGAUCCUGGCUCAGAUUGAACGCUGGCGGCAGGCCUAACACAUGCAAGUCGAACGGUAACAGCAGGAGCUUGCUUCUGGCUGACAAGUGGCGGACGGGUGAGUAAUGCACAGGAAUCUACCCAGUAGAGGGGGACAACUCAGGGAAACUUGAGCUAAUACCGCAUACGUCCUACGGGAGAGAAAGCAGGGGACCUUCGGGCCUUGUGCUAUUGGAUGAGCCUGUGUUAGACUAGCUAGUUGGUGAGGUAAAGGCUCACCAAGGCGACGAUCUAUAGCUGGUCUGAGAGGACGAUCAGCCACACUGGGACUGAGACACGGCCCAGACUCCUACGGGAGGCAGCAGUGGGGAAUAUUGCGCAAUGGAGGAAACUCUGACGCAGCCAUGCCGCGUGUGUGAAGAAGGCUUUCGGGUUGUAAAGCACUUUCAAUGGGGAGGAAAGGUUAUUAACGAAUAAUUGGUAGCCGUGACGUUACCUACAGAAGAAGCACCGGCAAACUCCGUGCCAGCAGCCGCGGUAAUACGGAGGGUGCGAGCGUUAAUCGGAAUUACUGGGCGUAAAGCGCGCGUAGGCGGCCUGAUAAGUUGGAUGUGAAAGCCCUGGGCUCAACCUGGGAACUGCAUUUGAAACUGGGGAACUAGAGUGUGUUAGAGGGAAGUGGAAUUCAGGGUGUAGCGGUGAAAUGCGUAGAUAUCCUGAGGAACACCAGUGGCGAAGGCGGCUAUCUGGACCAAUACUGACGCUGAGGUGCGAAAGCGUGGGGAGCAAACAGGAUUAGAUCCCCUGGUCCUCCACGCCGUAAACGAUGUCAACUAGCCGUUGGAGGGGUUGUCCCUUUAGUGGCCGCAGCUAACGCAUUAAGCAUUCCACCUGGGGAGUACGAUCGCAAGAUUGAAACUCAAAGGAAUUGACGGGGGCCCGCACAAGCGGUGGAGCAUGUGGUUUAAUUCGAAGCAACGCGAAGAACCUUACCAAAUCUUGACAUCCCAUUGACCGCCAUUUAAUUUUGGCUUUUCUUCGGAACAAUGGUGACAGGUGGUGCAUGGUUGUCGUCAGCUCGUGUCGUGAGAUGUUGGGUUAAGUCCCGCAACGAGCGCAACCCUUACUUUUAGUAGCCAGCAUGUAAUGAUGGGGACUCUAGAGGGACUGCCGCGGACAACGCGGAGGAAGGUGGGGAUGACGUCAAAUCAUCAUGCCCCUUAUGAUUUGGGCUACACACGUGCUACAAUGGUAGUUACAAAGGGAAGCCAAGCCGCGAGGUGGAGCAAACCCCAAAAAAGCUAUCCCAGUUCGGAUUGUAGUCUGCAACUCGACUACAUGAAGUUGGAAUCGCUAGUAAUCGCGAAUCAGAAUGUCGCGGUGAAUACGUUCCCGGGCCUUGUACACACCGCCCGUCACACCACGGAAGUUGGAGGCACCCAACGUCAGUGACCCAACCGCAAGGAGGGAGCUGCCUAAGGUGAAAUCAAUGACUGGGGUGAAGUCGUAACAAGGUA